UAGAUGUAAUACGGCCACCGGCUGUGAGGAAAUAUUACAACUUUCUUACAAUUUCACGAAAGAUGGUUUGUGUAUCAAAAUUACUACAGGAGGCGCUGUAACCUUUGCAACUAUCAUUAUUUUUCUCUUGGCCAUUAUCUAUAUCCAAAGAAGAAAAUUGUUGAAAGCUUCCUUUACAUCUUUGACAGCACGACGAGAUCAAAAUAAUUACAACGAAAUACCACAUCAAAUGUCAGAUUCCAUUACAGGGCAAUACUAUGAGGUAUCGCAAUUAUCAGAAAUCUCUGCUUCAGGAGGCAAACCCUCUGUCCAACAGAACAUAGAUCAAAUACAACACAUUGAUACAUCUGGAUAUCUUAUUCCUUCUAGCAUGCUAGAGACAAGUGGAGACUAUCAAACAAUCGCAGACUAAUUUGAAAAUUUCACAACAUUUAAGUUUGUAAACAUUCACACUUCGAAUACACAUACAGAUACUUUUUUGUAUAUAAACUGUAGUUACUGUAAUCAUGUGUUUUGUAUCUAAACAUUUAUUGCAAAAGUUUCGUAUUCUACAAAACUUGAAUUGUAUUCUAUAUUUGUUAGUAUUUAAUGUCUGUAAAAACAUUUUUUAAGAAAAUAAAACCAGACGAAUGUAAAUUUCAAACCCAUGUUAUGGAAUUGGAAGGAAAUUAAUACAACAUAAAAGAUUUUCCCCGUGAAAAGUGCAAAUGACAGGUUAUAAAUGUGACUAUCACUUUCACUUGUGCAAUGAUUGCACAUCUAUGUUGACAUGAAUUAUCAUUGAUAUAGUCAUAAUUAUAAAUUAACUGUUUAUAAAACUUUAAAGAGGUAGGGUUAAUUUCCCCUGAUUUUUGUUCACAGAAGGGCCGAUUUCAAAAAGUGCGAUAAAAACAAGUAAUAAAAAUGUUUUUUGAUCAAUAUCUCGAUUUAUAUUAUUAUGGUAUGUCUGAAGAAUAGUUAAUUUAACCCCUCAAAAGAGAUGAAAGUCAAAUAUGCGGAAUUUACCGUGUUUUAGGUGGGAAAUACAGGGAAUCCCCCCGAAAAGGACAUUUCAAACCAAAACAAAGUUAUGUUUUUUUUUGUUGUUGUUAUUUAUACAACUUUUUUCCUCAAAAAUGAAAUUGGUUUAGUGUGUCCUUAAUACCUAAAAAACAACCUUUUUAAUAAACAAGUGGAGCAUCACUAAAUUGUACAUAUAUAACUGCUUAAUAACCCAAUUCUUUUCAAGAGUCUCUGUGGUUCCAUCGGUAGGGCUUCGAACUAUCAUUAAUAGAUUAUUUUUAAUAAGGGUCAAAAUCUCACGCAGAUUUAUUUGCCUUUUUAUUGUGUUGAAAUAUUAAAUUGUAAUGUUCUAUCAUAUUU
This is a long non-coding RNA of Mytilus californianus (California mussel), 1362 nucleotides long. RefSeq lists it as uncharacterized. Lineage: Eukaryota; Metazoa; Mollusca; Bivalvia; Mytilida; Mytilidae. The transcript has 3 exons. The record is from RefSeq and is a predicted model, not a curated record.